UUCUGGAACGAGCUCUCUUGCAUGUGGCUUGCACUAGUUUAUCUUGCGACAACUCGUUGAUUACGAAAAGGAAACAAAAAAUAAAUUCUCUAGAAGUUUUAGUUAGCCCUAGGAAUGGCAACUGGUGCAGCACAUGAUGGCAUCGGCAAAGAAUUACACUGUAUGCAAUGGUGGUCAUUACCAAGUGCGUUCAACUUGUGGUCUCCSUGGACAUUUGACUUUGAUGCCUUUUCAAAUCAUGAAACUACAGCAAAUCAGGAACACCAACAGCCUCAAGAAUCUGGUGAAGAUCAGCAAAUGAACCAGGCAACAGAUUCAUCUUGAAUGCAAAUGCAAUGAAUUGAGUGCAGUUUGUAAAUAAUCUUAUGUAUUCCUUUAUUUGUAUUAAAAAUGAGAAAAAGAAAAAUAAGUCCAAAAAAAUGCUAAAAAUCAGUAGUCAUUAAAYCCAUUAAAGUGUGAUACUCAAAUAUGAUACAAAAUAAAACAAUUUAGUAAGAGCGUACCAACAUGUAUUUGUGUAAUAUCUAUUUCACUGGUUUUUGACUUUCACUUGCAGUAAAUAUUGUAGUAAAAAUUAUAUAAAAAGCAAUAUAAAGCACAAUAAAGGAAAAAUUAGUAUCCUAAUGAAAAGAAAUUAUUAUUUGUGUUAUUGUUAUACCACUGAAUGUGAGGGAUCUGUAGUUUUAGAAAACAGAAACAUAGAAUAAAAAUGCAAGGACUAUUAGUCCUUGAA
This is a long non-coding RNA of Exaiptasia diaphana, 733 nucleotides long. RefSeq lists it as uncharacterized. The transcript has 3 exons. Lineage: Eukaryota; Metazoa; Cnidaria; Anthozoa; Actiniaria; Aiptasiidae. The record is from RefSeq and is a predicted model, not a curated record.